UUUGUUUAUUGUGUUUCAAAUGUACGUCAGUCCAUUAUUUACGUUUUGCCAUUUAAAUACUUACAACCAUAUAUUUAAACAUACGAAAGAAUAUGCUCUGAAGCGCCUCGUGGACUUUGGUCAUAUAUAAACACGUGUUCCCGCUAAAUUUUCAUUCCACGAGUAUUUUUCAACAAGAUUACACAAGGAUAGGACCAGAGCGUUAAUAAGAUAAGUUGAUUUAGUUUAUUCAUUAUACUUUAAAUACGUUUACUUUUAUGCAUUUUAAUUCACUUUAAUAAUUUGGUUUACAUUUAAAGAGCAAACUUUUUACCUGUAACGAUAAAGUAAAACAGGUAACUUUAAAUUUAACACGUGUUUGCACGGGGUCGUAAUUUUGUUUCCCUUUACUUUCACAAUUAAAUACAUGAAUUGUUUUUUGUCAAUUCAAUAUUACAUUUAAAUAUAUGCUUAUUUAUUACCGUUUAAUUUCAUUGACUUCUGGUUGUUGCAUUUAAUUCACAGUUCUUAAACAUGGUAUUUUUAUCGGAGAAGGAAUGAAUAUCGUCGGAGAUUACGGCCCAGGGUAAACGACGUUAGGGUUCAACAACCUGCUCAUGAAGAACCUGCACCCGAAGAGGAACCCGUCCCUGAGGAAGUUGUCCAAGUGGUCAACAGAGGUAGACGUGGAAAUAGAAGGCGUGUUGCGCCAGAGCAUCAGCAAGCAGAUCAACCUGUGGAGCCCAAUAAUCAGCCUCCACCUCAGAAACAGCUGAAAACUACAGCAGUUCAGGCUGGACCGGGCAUUUUUGUGGUUUGGAUUAUUGGAUCUUCCUUGGUUGCCAAAGCCUCAUCACAUAGUCAAAUAAGACCUUUGGGAAAUGAUUUGGGGUUGCAUAAGUUAGGCUACAAGUUGAUGUGGGCAGGAAUGUCCGGUAUGUCAGUAUAUAACGUUGUACCAAUAGUAGAGAAUUUGAUACAUUGUUGCGGUUUACCAGAUGCUGUUUUGCUUCACUGUGGUGGCAAUGAUAUUGGACUUGUUAACUGUGCCAAACUUUUAUUUGAUAUUAAAUUUAUGCUAGAUAUAGUUGCACGUAUGGUGAAUGGAGGUAAAAUUAUUUUUUCAAGCAUUUUACCAAGGUUGAAAUGGAGAUAUUCAAAAGAUUUGAAAGCAAUGGAUGCAACCAGGAAACGUUUAAAUAGGGGGGUUAAAUCACAUUUAAAUAAAACUGGGGGUUACACUAUAACUCAUUCUGAUUUUGAAGACAAACAUCAAUCUUUAUUUAGUCAUGAUGGCGUCCAUUUGUCGUUUAUUGGCAAUGAUAUAUUUUUGAAUUCAUUUCAAACUGCUUUAGAACAAUUUUACUAUAUACCAAAUAAUUCUGUUUAUCCGAUGCAUGAAUGAUGUUGUUUGUUUAUUUUUGUUGUAUGUUGAAAAGAAUAACAACUAGUUGAUUAUAUUUUCAUUGAAUUUAUGCUGCUUAUUAAAUUGUCAUGGCGGAUUAGCAUUUGAUUGAGAGUUCACUAAAAUGCCAAUUUUGGCAGUGAUUUAUUCAAAUAUCGUUCAUUAAGCUGUUAUGGAUCUGCCCAGCAGCUAGAAAUUGUUAUGCAUUUACUGUUGGUUUCCCUUCAGUGACCAAUUGUCAUCAAGUUUUAACUUGUUGGCCAGUUUGUUGAUGUUGGUUGUUUGUUGGUUUAUAUUGUUGAAUAUUGUUGAAUAAAUGCCAUGACAAAUAAUCAGCCAAAUUUCAAAUUUCAAUUGUUUGUUUGUUGUUUAUAUUAUUCUUGCGAAGGAAUGAAACAAAACAAAUCUGCAGUUGUAUAUUCAUUGCACACAUUGAAUAUGCAAUAAUAAAAUUUAAUGAUCUAAUAAUUAAAUUGAUUUAUUGCAUUAACAAUACAUUUAUUUGUUUAUUGUGUUUCAAAUGUACGUCAGUCCAUUAUUUACGUUUUGCCAUUUAAAUACUUACAACCAUAUAUUUAAACAUACGAAAGAAUAUGCUUUGAAGCGCCUCGUGGACUUUGGUCAUAUAUAAACACGUGUUCCCGCUAAAUUUUCAUUCCACGAGUAUUUUUCAACAAGAUUACACAACCCACCCUCCCUCCCUUUAACGAACAAAAUUGCUGCUGUUUUUUAGUUUAUUUUUCAGAUUACAUGGUGAACAGAUCCAAAUGUAUUGAAUGUUCCAAUUAGAUUGUCAUGUAUCAUCAAAAUUGUCAGACGUUUCAAUAUUCAUCGGCAGAUCCAAUGAAACCUGAAUAUUCAAGGAAUUUGCAGGAAUAAUUAAAAAGAGAAUAUCUAUCGUCAUGGCAUUCCGUUCAAUAUGGAAAGUGCGUUGGAUGUCAUCAUCAACAAGAUUCAACUGGCAGUGAUUUAUUCAAAUAUCGUUCAUUAAGCUGUUAUGGAUCUGCCCAGCAGCUAGAAAUUGUUAUGCAUUUACUGUUGGUUUCCCUUCAGUGACCAAUUGUCAUCAAGUUUUAACUUGUUGGCCAGUUUGUUGAUGUUGGUUGUUUGUUGGUUUAUAUUGUUGAAUAUUGUUGAAUAAAUGCCAUGACAAAUAAUCAGCCAAAUUUCAAAUUUCAA
Mytilus californianus (California mussel) is the source of this 2563-nucleotide long non-coding RNA. RefSeq lists it as uncharacterized. The transcript is spliced from 3 exons. NCBI's taxonomy places the organism in Eukaryota, Metazoa, Mollusca, Bivalvia, Mytilida, Mytilidae. The record is from RefSeq and is a predicted model, not a curated record.